GAGGACUGUAGUGGAUAAGCUGUAGCGAU
This 29-nucleotide non-coding RNA is filed under the name Cricetulus griseus (Chinese hamster). The record is from RNAcentral. Lineage: Eukaryota; Metazoa; Chordata; Mammalia; Rodentia; Cricetidae.